This 1343-nucleotide ribosomal RNA is filed under the name uncultured bacterium. RNAcentral describes it as "16S ribosomal RNA". It matches the Rfam family "Bacterial small subunit ribosomal RNA", at positions 28 to 1378 of the family's 1533-position model. The record is from RNAcentral.
GACGAACGCUGGCGGCGUGCUUAACACAUGCAAGUCGAACGGAAAGGCCCUGCUUUUGUGGGGUGCUCGAGUGGCGAACGGGUGAGUAACACGUGAGUAACCUGCCCUUGACUUUGGGAUAACUUCAGGAAACUGGGGCUAAUACCGGAUAGGAGCUCCUGCUGCAUGGUGGGGGUUGGAAAGUUUCGGCGGUUGGGGAUGGACUCGCGGCUUAUCAGCUUGUUGGUGGGGUAGUGGCUUACCAAGGCUUUGACGGGUAGCCGGCCUGAGAGGGUGAACGGCCACAUUGGGACUGAGAUACGGCCCAGACUCCUACGGGAGGCAGCAGUGGGGAAUAUUGCACAAUGGGCGGAAGCCUGAUGCAGCAACGCCGCGUGCGGGAUGACGGCCUUCGGGUUGUAAACCGCUUUCGCCUGUGACGAAGCGUGAGUGACGGUAAUGGGUAAAGAAGCACCGGCUAACUACGUGCCAGCAGCCGCGGUGAUACGUAGGGUGCGAGCGUUGUCCGGAUUUAUUGGGCGUAAAGGGCUCGUAGGUGGUUGAUCGCGUCGGAAGUGUAAUCUUGGGGCUUAACCCUGAGCGUGCUUUCGAUACGGGUUGACUUGAGGAAGGUAGGGGAGAAUGGAAUUCCUGGUGGAGCGGUGGAAUGCGCAGAUAUCAGGAGGAACACCAGUGGCGAAGGCGGUUCUCUGGGCCUUUCCUGACGCUGAGGAGCGAAAGCGUGGGGAGCGAACAGGCUUAGAUACCCUGGUAGUCCACGCUGUAAACGGUGGGUACUAGGUGUGGGGUCCAUUCCACGGGUUCCGUGCCGUAGCUAACGCUUUAAGUACCCCGCCUGGGGAGUACGGCCGCAGGGCUAAAACUCAAAGGAAUUGACGGGGCCCCGCACAAGCGGCGGAGCAUGCGGAUUAAUUCGAUGCAACGCGUAGAACCUUACCUGGGUUUGACAUGGAUCGGGAGUGCUCAGAGAUGGGUGUGCCUCUUUUGGGGUCGGUUCACAGGUGGUGCAUGGCUGUCGUCAGCUCGUGUCGUGAGAUGUUGGGUUAAGUCCCGCAACGAGCGCAACCCUUGUUCACUGUUGCCAGCACGUUAUGGUGGGGACUCAGUGGAGACCGCCGGGGUCAACUCGGAGGAAGGUGGGGAUGACGUCAAGUCAUCAUGCCCCUUAUGUCCAGGGCUUCACGCAUGCUACAAUGGCUGGUACAGAGAGUGGCGAGCCUGUGAGGGUGAGCGAAUCUCGGAAAGCCGGUCUCAGUUCGGAUUGGGGUCUGCAACUCGACCUCAUGAAGUCGGAGUCGCUAGUAAUCGCAGAUCAGCAACGCUGCGGUGAAUACGUUCCCGGG